RNAcentral lists this small RNA (129 nucleotides) under Chloroflexota bacterium. RNAcentral describes it as "Chloroflexi bacterium c-di-AMP sequence". It matches the Rfam family "c-di-AMP riboswitch aptamer (ydaO/yuaA leader)". Rfam says of the family: This family represents a conserved RNA structure found upstream of the ydaO and yuaA genes in Bacillus subtilis and related genes in other bacteria. Lineage: Bacteria; Bacillati; Chloroflexota. The record is from RNAcentral.
AAUAACUGUGCGCCGAAUCCCUUUGGGGAGCGGGGGAUCCAUCGUUGUUGAGGUGCACUCGCCUAAGGCGAGAGGGUAUCUUUCAACCCUAACCUGUCAGCUAACCUCGUAGGCAAUGGAAGAGGCAGA